This 3813-nucleotide long non-coding RNA is filed under the name Ornithorhynchus anatinus (platypus). Its description in RNAcentral is "lncRNA (ENSOANG00000043664.1)". The record is from RNAcentral. Lineage: Eukaryota; Metazoa; Chordata; Mammalia; Monotremata; Ornithorhynchidae.
CCCAGACAACCACCCUUGUGCUGCAGGUGGUCGUGAGGAUGUUCCCGCCCAAGAGUCCUACCCCAGGAAGCCAGGCCUGGGUCCUGACUGUGAUGUCAACCAGACAAGCCAGUUAGGUCUACUCAACCCCAGCAGAAUGAAAACUGGGAAAACAGGUGUCCCAGCAAUCUCUGAGAGAGCCCGCUGGUCUCUUUCGCCCACUGCAUCUUCAACCUUCACCACUCUGAAAGUCCAGUCGGGCACAACCAACGCCACCAUCUUGGCUGAAACAUUGAACUCCAGUCCAGAAGCAACAACCAGGUCAUCUGUGUCCAUUCCAGAUUCAGAGACCUGGAUAGCAACUGCUACUGACCUAGUGACGGGGGUCACCUACGAGACCACUAUGUCCACUCUGACCUCGUGGAGAAAUGUCACCCUUUCGGGGGCAGAGACGACCCAAACUGAGCCCCAUGCUGAAGAUGAAACUUCACCACCAACUUCUGCCAUUACCGAGAAAGCUACCCCAAGUCGGCUGUCAACUAAAACCACUAGCCCCACAGAAAAAGAAACAUAUCCACCAUUUCCUGGUUCCUUAAUUACAGUCAGCAAGUCCAAGGAGCCAAAGACGAUGGCUCUCCUCACUGAGACCUCAACUUCGGGUGACUCCGGGAAAGGUAUGGACCUGACUGUGCCCCGGGUGGAGAUUUCAACUACGGCUAACAGGAUGGCGGUAACGGCGAUGACAACCACCAAGACCACUCCCCGCGCCGGGACGUCAAUCGCAGGCAGCCCCUCCGCAGAACCGGGGACCACAGGAGUCGGCUCCAAAACCUCAAAUUUAGAUGACUCCAGUGAAGAGAUCUCAACUGGGUCCCUAGCCGAGACCUCAACUGCCCAAACCUCCACCAUAACCAAAAGGGCCGCCGAUUCGGAGAAGGCGACGGUCACGACCACUUCACUCGCCAAGACUUCGAUUGUAGUCAGUAGCUCCGCGGAACCUGGGAGCGCACAGGUCUCCGGUGAAGGAAUUAACACGACGGGGUCCCUUGCGAGGACUUCAACCGCAGCCAGUAGCGUGACGGUAAUGCGGAAGACGACCACCAAGACCGCUUCCCAAGCCACGACUUCAGUGACGGACAGCUCCUCCACAGCAUUGCGGACCAUGGACGUACCCUCUGGAAUCUCGACUUCGGGUGACUCCAGCGAAGGAACGAUCAUAACAGCAUCCCCGACCACGACCUCAACCUUAGAUGAUGCAUCGUUGUUGGGCACAUCUCUGGCAAGUCAGAGACCCUUCUCGACUCUCCUGCCAAAGAUCUCUAGCAGCCCCACAAGACAACAGACCCCAACUAAUGAGGCCACCUCAACGGCGGGUGCUAAACUGAACACCACCGGCACCAGGCCAGGAUCCCAGACCCCUGCCGAUCUCGACAGAUGCCUUCCAGGUAGGUCGAACCACUAGCCAGCGGCCGCUUCCUCUGAUUCUUUCAGUCAAUUAAUCAAUCCACCAAUGGAAGUUAUUGAGUGCUUACUGUGUGCAGAACACUAUAGUAAGCAUUUGGGAGAGUUCAAUACAACGGAGAUGUGGACAUCUUCCCUGCUUGUACUAAUAAUAAUAAUAAUUAUGGUAUUUGUUAAGCGCUUCCCAUGUUCCAAACACUGCUCUAAGCACUGGAGUAGAUACAAGAUUAUCAGGUUGUCCUAUGUGGGGCUCACAGUCUUAAUCCCCAUUUUAUAGGUAAGGUAACUGAGGCACAGAGAAGUUAAGUGACUCGACCAAAGUCACACAGCUGACAAGUAGCUGAGGCGGAAUUAGAACCCACGUCCUCUGACUCCCAAACCCGGGCUCUUUCCACUAAGCCACUCUGCCGUGAGGAAGGGCCAUUAUCCAUUCCUUUCCUGGAAGGGGUCCCUCAGAGGUCAUUUAACUCCAUUCCUCUGGUUAAACUCAACCCAAACAGGUUCACGAGCCGGGUGGAGCUCCGACCUGCUCUUAAAAUUUUCCACUCGUACAUUCCUCAGCUUGAUGACUUUUGCAGAUAGCUUUGGAAAUAGUUCGGAGAAGUGACCUGCCCACAGAAAUGUUAAUUAGUCCUUGGCUCUCACCAGCCUCCCUCCUUCCCUCUCCCUGCCCAGCUAGAGCCGGGUCUGUCCUUGCAGUUUAUAUGUAUAUUUCAAGCACUGGGCUUUGUCGUUGAAGAAGACACCACCACUGAAGGUGAAGUUCCCCUGCGUGUGCAUAUAUGGCCGAAAAACCCAAUGAGGGACCCACAGUCCUGGACACAGUGGGUACACAAGAAGGCUGCCCCUGGGUUUUUAUUUUUUCAAAAAAAAUGUUCUUUGUCAAGCCCUUACUAUGUGUCGAACGCUGUUCUAAGUUUUGGGGUCGAUACAACAGUGGCUACACAAAAAGGCUGCCCCUGGGUUUUUAUUUAUUAUUUUUAAAUGGUAUCUGUCGAGCCUUCACUAUGUGUCGAACACUGUUCCAAGCGCUGGGGUUGAUACAAAUUAAUUAAGUUGGACAUAGUCCCUAUCCCACAGGGGUUCACAGUGUGUUGUGAUAUUUAGAAAAGCAACACGGCCUAGUAGAUAGAGCACAGGCCUGAGAGUCGGAAGGACCUUGGUUCUAGUUCCAGAUCCUCCACUUGUUUGCUGUGUGACAUUGGACAAGUCACAUCACUUCCCUGUGCCUCACUUCCCUCAUCUGUAAAAUGGGGAUUAAGAUUGUGAGCCCUAUGUGGGAUGUGGACUGUGUACAAUCUGAUUUCCUCAUAACUAUCCCAGUGCUUAGAAACAGUGUCUGGCACAUAGUAAGCACUUAACAUCUAUCACUUGGAAGAAAUAUGGUGCUCUUUCAUAUAAAUAUCAGCAAAUAUGCUAACAGCCCCCGCCCCCCAAUAUAUUACUCUUAGGCGAAGAGGACAUAAUAUUCCACCUAAAAAUAAUGAUGUAUUUGGUUAAACAUUUACUAUGUGUCCAUCACUGUUCUAAGCGCUGGGAUAGAUACAAGUUAAUCAGCUCAGACACAGUCUCUGUCCCACGUGGGGCUCACAAUUUAAGUAGGAGGGAAAACAGGCAUUUUACAGUAGAGGAAACUGAGAUAGUUUCCAAGGUCAUCCAGCAGACAAGGGGCAGAUCCAGGAUUAGAACCCAGGUCCACUGACUCCCAGGCCCAUGUUCUUCCCACUGGAGCACCUUGCUUCCCAUCCGUGUAAGAACCUUCCUUAGAAAAAAAGACCCCUUAGAAAACUACAUUCUCUGAAAACCUCGGAAGCAGAGCCCCAUCUGGCUAGCAACACCACCCAAAUUGCUGCUUAUUAGCCAUUACACACCUCUUCCCACAAAAAGUAGAGGGAAAAUGUGUGUGUGUGUGCAUUUAUGUGAUAUAUAUAUAUGUAUAUAUAUAUAUGGGUCACCCCUCCAUCAGAAAGAGCUGGCAGUAGAUACAGAAUAAUUAGGGAAGCAGCAUAGCUUAGUGGAUACAGCCUGGGCCUAGGAGUCAGAAAGAUCUGGGCUCUAAUUCCGGCUCCACUCCAUGUCUGCUGUGUGACCUUGGGCAAAUCACUUCACUUCUCUGGGCCUCAGUUCCCUUAUCCGUAAAAUGGGGAUUAAGAGUGUGAUUAAGUGAUUAAGAGUGUCCCCAUGUGGGACAGGGACUGUGUCCAACCGGAUUAACUUGCAUCUAUCCCAGCAGUUAGAACAGUAACAAGUACUGUAAUAAUUAUUAUUAUCAGCAAUUACAAUAUUCUAAUAAUAAUGCUCCUUUUUUAAUGACUCUAGUGGAACCGUAUUAGAACAGUAACAAGUACCAUAAUCUUUAUUAUUAUUAUCAGC